ACCUUCCAACGGAGAUGUAUACGUCACAUUGAAUGUUAAUUUCGUAGUGUUGGUUCUCCAACUACUAUAAAACGACGGUUUUGUGGUUCCCUUGUUUCAGAUUGAAAUCUAACUAAACAACAGGGUCCGUCCGCCGAUGAUGGAACUCGUUAGUCCCGCUCCGCUAUGGCGCUCUUCAAAGUCGUGCGGGGUGUUCAGCCUAGGGUGGAAGUCUCGGGUGGAAGCAGUAGCAGAAGGAGGUCGCUAGCCGUGAACCUGUAGUGGAAGGAGGUUAUCAAC
This 279-nucleotide ribosomal RNA is filed under the name Triticum aestivum (bread wheat). RNAcentral's name for it is "partial small subunit ribosomal RNA". The record is from RNAcentral. Lineage: Eukaryota; Viridiplantae; Streptophyta; Magnoliopsida; Poales; Poaceae.